Sceloporus undulatus (fence lizard) is the source of this 86-nucleotide small nucleolar RNA. RefSeq annotates it as small nucleolar RNA SNORD60. Lineage: Eukaryota; Metazoa; Chordata; Lepidosauria; Squamata; Phrynosomatidae. The transcript has a single exon. The record is from RefSeq and is a predicted model, not a curated record.
AGCCAGUGAUGAGCUCUUUAACCUUCUGACACCUCUUCUGAAAGCCGCGCUUGCGGUUAACUGAGGACUGACAUGAGCUGAGGCUU